RNAcentral lists this non-coding RNA (207 nucleotides) under Mycolicibacterium llatzerense. Lineage: Bacteria; Bacillati; Actinomycetota; Actinomycetes; Mycobacteriales; Mycobacteriaceae. The record is from RNAcentral.
UUACCCGUGACGCUUCGGUGUCAUGGGUAUCGAAUGGCGGUGAUUCGCCAUGAGAGGGAACCCGGUGAGAAUCCGGGACUGUCCCGCAGCGGUAAGCAGGAACGACCGCCGUCAUCCGCACUGGUUCAUCUCGAAUUGGGAAGCGACGGCCACUAGGGCGUGUCUCCCGAAUGUGAGGGUGUUAUCGGCGACGAUUGAUCGGUGACA